GACUAACGCUAGCGGCGUGCUUAACACAUGCAAGUCGAACGGUAAGGCCCUUCGGGGUACACGAGUGGCGAACGGGUGAGUAACACGUGGGUGAUCUGCCCUGCACUUCGGGAUAAGCCUGGGAAACUGGGUCUAAUACCGGAUAGGACUCCUGGCUUCAUGGUUGGGGGUGGAAAGCUUUUGCGGUGUGGGAUGGGCCCGCGGCCUAUCAGCUUGUUGGUGGGGUAAUGGCCUACCAAGGCGACGACGGGUAGCCGGCCUGAGAGGGUGACCGGCCACACUGGGACUGAGAUACGGCCCAGACUCCUACGGGAGGCAGCAGUGGGGAAUAUUGCACAAUGGGCGCAAGCCUGAUGCAGCGACGCCGCGUGAGGGAUGACGGCCUUCGGGUUGUAAACCUCUUUCAGCAUCGACGAAGCGAAAGUGACGGUAGGUGCAGAAGAAGGACCGGCCAACUACGUGCCAGCAGCCGCGGUAA
This 478-nucleotide ribosomal RNA is filed under the name uncultured bacterium. Its description in RNAcentral is "partial 16S ribosomal RNA". It matches the Rfam family "Bacterial small subunit ribosomal RNA", at positions 28 to 523 of the family's 1533-position model. The record is from RNAcentral.